This 410-nucleotide ribosomal RNA is filed under the name uncultured bacterium. Its description in RNAcentral is "bacterial SSU rRNA". It matches the Rfam family "Bacterial small subunit ribosomal RNA", at positions 355 to 775 of the family's 1533-position model. The record is from RNAcentral.
UCGAGGAUCUUCGGCAAUGGGCGGAAGCCUGACCGAGCGACGCCGCGUGUGCGAUGAAGGCCUUCGGGUUGUAAAGCACUGUCGGGGGGGAGAAAGGCGCAAGCUUGAUCGACCCCCGGAGGAAGCUCGGGCUAAGUUCGUGCCAGCAGCCGCGGUAAGACGAACCGAGCGAACGUUAUUCGGAAUCACUGGGCUUAAAGGGCGCGUAGGCGGGCGGUCAAGUCAGGGGUGAAAUCCUCCAGCUCAACUGGAGAAGUGCCUCUGAUACUGGCCGCCUCGAGGGAGGUAGGGGCGUGCGGAACUUCCGGUGGAGCGGUGAAAUGCGUAGAUAUCGGAAGGAACACCAGUGGCGAAAGCGGCGCGCUGGACCUCUUCUGACGCUGAGGCGCGAAAGCCAGGGGAGCAAACGG